UAGGGAAUCUUCGGCAAUGGACGAAAGUCUGACCGAGCAACGCCGCGUGAGUGAAGAAGGUUUUCGGAUCGUAAAACUCUGUUGUUAGAGAAGAACAAGGACGUUAGUAACUGAACGUCCCCUGACGGUAUCUAACCAGAAAGCCACGGCUAACUACGUGCCAGCAGCCGCGGUAAUACGUAGGUGGCAAGCGUUGUCCGGAUUUAUUGGGCGUAAAGCGAGCGCAGGCGGUUUCUUAAGUCUGAUGUGAAAGCCCCCGGCGCAACCGGGGAGGGUCAUUGGAAACUGGGGGACUGGAGUGCAGAAGAGGAGAGUGGAAUUCCAUGUGUAGCGGUGAAAUGCGUAGAUAUAUGGAGGAACACCAGUGGCGAAGGCGGCUCUCUGGUCUGUAACUGACGCUGAGGCUCGAAAGCGUGGGGAGCAAACAGG
RNAcentral lists this ribosomal RNA (429 nucleotides) under Chloroflexota bacterium. RNAcentral's name for it is "Chloroflexi bacterium partial 16S ribosomal RNA". It matches the Rfam family "Bacterial small subunit ribosomal RNA", at positions 355 to 776 of the family's 1533-position model. Lineage: Bacteria; Bacillati; Chloroflexota. The record is from RNAcentral.